GCCCAUUGCUCCUGGGCUACAAACCUGUACAGCCUGCUACUGUACUGGAUACUGUAGGCAGCUGUAGCACAAUGCGUCCUUUUCUCGCGCCUCUUCUUCAGCUACGUGUUCCUGUUCCAGUUUCAACAAUUCCUCAUUGGUCAGUUCCUCAGGAGCCACCUCCAGGAACUCCUCAGUGUCGUCCUCAUCCACACCCAGGUCAAUCACUCAACAUGGCCUCUUACUGGCAACAUAGCAGAUUUUGUAUGCUUAGGGACCAUGAUGAACAAAACAACAUGAGAUUAAAUCAAGCACAAGAGAAAUGAUGCACUCAAGAGCUGCAGUAAACACGAGAUGUAUCAGGCUGCUGCUGGCAUAAUACAGCAUACUAUUUUACAAUCAUUGAAAGCAGAAAGAACUCAUUACCAACAGACCCACACCACAAGAAACGCUAAAGAAGACUGUUGAGGCAGAAGGGAAGUGAUACCACAUGGAAAUCUGGAUCUACAGGAAGGAAUGAAGAGCACUGAAAACCCUAAGUCCUAAUGGCAGUCGACAUCAAACACCCAUUCCAUGGGGACCUACAGUGUGCCAGGCAUGAAGCCAGGCAGUGGGGAAGAUCAAAAGAGGACUACCUCAGGGCAGAUGAGAUUUGUCACAUGAACAUUCAUGUUCCCUCACUCGCUCACACACGCACCACACAGGAUGCGUGCCCCUCAGCCUUCACUUCCCCUGCUGAGGAGAGCCAAAACCACAAGGGCCCCCCGCCAAGUCUCCCACUCACUCACACGCCUCCUUGGAGGUGCCUAGAAAUCCAUUAGCCAGGAGAGACGUUUCCACUGUGACAUGAGAGGGAAAGCUCAAACUACAAACACACUUGGGAGAAGUAACGUC
RNAcentral lists this long non-coding RNA (873 nucleotides) under Equus caballus (horse). RNAcentral's name for it is "lncRNA (ENSECAG00000055901.1)". Lineage: Eukaryota; Metazoa; Chordata; Mammalia; Perissodactyla; Equidae. The record is from RNAcentral.